Aphis gossypii (cotton aphid) is the source of this 1007-nucleotide long non-coding RNA. RefSeq lists it as uncharacterized. The transcript is spliced from 6 exons. The record is from RefSeq and is a predicted model, not a curated record. NCBI's taxonomy places the organism in Eukaryota, Metazoa, Arthropoda, Insecta, Hemiptera, Aphididae.
AUGACAAAUAUAAGUGUAAUGUUGUACGCCAAAAUGACCUUCACAUCGGUCAUUAGUCUGAAAAAUAAAAACAAUAAUUAUUAAUUUAUUAAAAAUAACAAAUGACACGUUGAAGAGUGCGUGUGCUAUUUGCAUUAUCGUGACUGGUUUUCUAUUCCAAUUGCAUCAACACAAGACUCUACUCAGAACCUGAAACGAAUAAUCUUCAAACACCCUAUGCGCACAAUAAUUGUGUACUCCAUAAAAUAGACGGAAUGUCACUCCAACUGAAAUACAACAAUAUAGGUUUCGUAAGAAAAUAAAAUAAAUUGCAUAAUCGGGAUGUGCGGACACAACAUUCAGUAUAAUAUACACGUAGAGACUGCAAAAGACAGUAUUAUAUUUAAGGUAAUCGAAUAAUAUAAUACAUCGUCGUAUAUCGUACAUAAUAAUACGUGAUGACUGAGAGAGCCGUUUUGUUUUUGGUUUUUAUGAGAAGGGGUUUGAUUUGUUAAUUAUAAAUUUGUUAGUAUUUUAUUCAAAUAUUUAGCGACCACAUUGCAUUUCGAAAUGCGUACAGCAAAAUUCGAGUAAUUAUAAUCAAUCACGGCGUGUCUCAGUACACUGGACCGUUGUACAACUGCAAAUUUAAUAAACAUAAUACGUAUCGGGAAUAUGCAAGUACAGCAGAGAGAACGUACCAGGAGAAUGUGACGCAUGGCAGAUAAUACGAUUGUUGUUUUAUGAAACUCAUUUGAGAAAUAAAGAAAAUUCCAAUAAAAUAUAUAUUAAAUUGCUCGCGUUUCAAUAUCACUCGUCCACACGCGGUUUUAUGGUGAAAACUCGUGAGUAUUAUACUAUUAUACUAUAUCGUGAAAUAUAUUGAAAACGAUUCGGUGUUAAAUAAAAUACAUCGAUAGUAAAAAACCACGAAAUUGUGUACUAUAAAGAAAUACUAGUAAUUUGCAAGCUUUAGGUUUUAAAACUUUGAAAUGAUUUAAAACAACUUAUCAUAUUGUAUAAUAAUA